RNAcentral lists this ribosomal RNA (719 nucleotides) under uncultured Bacilli bacterium. RNAcentral describes it as "bacterial SSU rRNA". It matches the Rfam family "Bacterial small subunit ribosomal RNA", at positions 28 to 719 of the family's 1533-position model. The record is from RNAcentral. Lineage: Bacteria; Bacillati; Bacillota; Bacilli.
GACGAACGCUGGCGGCGUGCCUAAUACAUGCAAGUCGAACGCUUUUUCUUUCACCGGAGCUUGCUCCACCGAAAGAAAAGGAGUGGCGAACGGGUGAGUAACACGUGGGUAACCUGCCCAUCAGAAGGGGAUAACACUUGGAAACAGGUGCUAAUACCGUAUAACAAUCGAAACCGCAUGGUUUCGGUUUGAAAGGCGCUUUUGCGUCACUGAUGGAUGGACCCGCGGUGCAUUAGCUAGUUGGUGAGGUAACGGCUCACCAAGGCAACGAUGCAUAGCCGACCUGAGAGGGUGAUCGGCCACAUUGGGACUGAGACACGGCCCAAACUCCUACGGGAGGCAGCAGUAGGGAAUCUUCGGCAAUGGACGGAAGUCUGACCGAGCAACGCCGCGUGAGUGAAGAAGGUUUUCGGAUCGUAAAACUCUGUUGUUAGAGAAGAACAAGGAUGAGAGUAGAAUGUUCAUCCCUUGACGGUAUCUAACCAGAAAGCCACGGCUAACUACGUGCCAGCAGCCGCGGUAAUACGUAGGUGGCAAGCGUUGUCCGGAUUUAUUGGGCGUAAAGCGAGCGCAGGCGGUUUCUUAAGUCUGAUGUGAAAGCCCCCGGCUCAACCGGGGAGGGUCAUUGGAAACUGGGAAACUUGAGUGCAGAAGAGGAGAGUGGAAUUCCAUGUGUAGCGGUGAAAUGCGUAGAUAUAUGGAGGAACACCAGUGGCGAA